CUCCAUUGCUUCACUGAAUCUUCAAGUGCGAGUUUUCGGAUGGGUCCCACAACCUAGCUGCCCAGCGCUCAACGUCUACGAUAGCUCUCCGAGUACCACCUUAUCUCUCUCUCUCUAGCCUCCUCCUCCCUCCCUCCUUCUCUCUAGCUCUCUGUGCACCACGCCUAUAGUGAAGCAAAAAAAAUGGCGAGAGGAAAGGGGGAGAAGACAGUAUUUAUAGAGUGAGAAGUAAGGACAAGGGCGGACCUGCCCACUGUCAAAAAUUAUUGCAGCCCAAAACGACGACGUUUGGGUCAGUGUAAUAUAUAUAUUUCUUUCCCGUUGCUUCUUCAAUCUUACGCAGACCGCGGCCAGCAGCUCUUCAUCGAAGAUUUGCAGAUUCGCAGCUCAUUACUCCACGCCUCCAUCGACCACCUUCGUCCGGCUAUUCUCCUCCGUGGCUCCGUCCGUUCACCAUUAUAGAUUUACAGCUUCAGCUAGUCAUGGGUUUGGAGCGACAUCAUCGACGGGAAAUCGAUUUGCUCCGGCGAAGCAUUGCACUUAGGAGAUGAAGCGAGGUUUAUUUAUAAAGCUCAAGUGAACGAUCAAGUUAGGGCUGAAGUGCUUUUGAAGGGAAUUCGGGUUAGCUCACUCUGAAAAGUUCGAAGUAGCGAAUUUUCUCCCAGAUUUGACAUCUAAUCAGCUCUAAAGCUUGAGUAUGGAAUCAGCAGUUAAGAAAUAUCAGCAAAGAUUCAGAAAAGUGAAGGAUGAGAUUGAUAGGUGGGAGGAGCUUCAUACUAGACUGCUUUCCCAAUUCACAAACGCUUCCUCUAUCAUCCAGAGAUUGCAGGUGAUUCAAGGUUCAAAAAACUAUGGUGCCUUGAAAUGUAUUCAAGGGAAGGAUUUCAUUCCAUUGUUUUAUCAUUUGAGAAGAUUGUUCGUGAUAGUAGACAGCAAGUAAAAGGCGGGUCAGCUCAACCAACUGUGAAACAGUUGCAGCAACGAAUUGGCGUCAAACCAAGCCUUGCAGAUUGCUUAGAUGGGCUUACUAUACUUAGUGAGAUGCACCAAUCAGAGUACCGUCUUAAAUUGUCUCUGGUAUCAGCAACUUCAACACUUGCAUUGAAACCUAGUGUUACUGAUGAUUUAAGUGUCCUCCAGCAGCUUUUGGUAGAUCAGCCUAACAUCCCUAAAGAGGAAGUGCAAUUUAUAUUUGACAUCAUUUUUGCUGAAGACAUUUGUUGAUGCUCACAACUUGAGAGGGUGGUAAAAAUCUUGAAAUUGGCAUGAGGUGAAUGACUCAGUUGUAGAGCAGAGAAGUUUAACAUGGCUACCAACAAGGAACGGGAAAUACAUAUCGACCAUGAGAAUUGCAGAACACCUUUCUGGCAUAUUUGCGGUUCAGCAUAUACUUACCUAUCCUAUUCCCUUAUUUGUAGGAUUUGAUUUUCUGUGGCAGGCCACACAUUGCAUUUGAUUGGGAUGAUCAAAAAAAUUAAUACACUAUUAACAUCUAAUUAUGAAUCACAUAUACAAUAUGAUUAUCAAGUUGUGGUGUUGUUGCACUUUAUCCAGACUGCAUUGCUUGUGCUUGGCUUUAGAAUGGUAAUUUGUGUGCUGAAAUCCGAUGAAGAAAUCCUAUUAUGCAAGUGCCGUAUGACAACCCAAUUUGAGAUUGGGUGUUUGAUAUGAAAUAGGUGUCUGAGGAUUCUUUUUCUUAGAUGUUUGCCAAUGGCCUGUUUUAAUUUCUUUUUCAUAUAGUGAGUUCUUUAAACACUCUUUUUUAGUGAGCUAUUAGAAUACUAGUUUUGCAUUUAGAAUGGUUCUUCAAUUCUAUAAAGCUUUUAACAAAAUUUAUAUUUUCAGCUCUCUAAUGGAAUCUUCUUGAUCUUGUUCUUGGUUUUCUAUUGCUCAACAGAGAAAUGGCGAAAAUUAUUGGCAGAGUUGAAUCCAGAGCCAGCCCCCAUGAUGAUCAAAAUCAUAUAAUUUAGGGGUUAGGUUUUUGCCUUCUUUAACAAGUGGCAAAGAACAGAAUUUUGGCACGAUAUUUUAUGCCGUGAUUUUUUUAUUUGGUUUGAGACUUUGAGUGAAGUUUGGCCUUGUGGAAUGGAAUUGAGUGCAGGAAUCAUUCAGUUAGGUGAAAAUCUUGUAUAUAUAUUCUUGGAAUAGGAAUUUGUUUUUUUUUUUUUUUUUUUUUUUUUUUGCAUUUCAAGGCCAUUUAACCACAUGCAUCUUUCUUUUGCGUAAGAAAGUGCUCCAAUGUAAAACGGUAAAUGAAGGGGUUGGCAAGUCCCUAUUUUUUUCUCUCUAUUUAUACUUCCAUGCAAUAGGGAUUUUACACUAUAAGCAAUUAAGAGAGAAUUGAAGUUGAGGCUUGAGGCAAGAUAUAUGGGGAAAGAAUUUCUUGAUUACGUAUUGGUUCCGGCAGGCCUCCUUGUGAUGCUGACUUACCACUUAUGGCUUCUCCACCGGAUUCUCAACCACCCCACCCGCACCGUCAUCGGCAUCAACUCCGCCAACCGCGUCUUCUGGGUCCGCGCUAUCAUGGAGGACUGGUCCAAGAAUGGGGUUUUAGCUGUGCAGACACUAAGGAACAACAUAAUGGCGUCGACGCUUCUAGCAUCGGCGGCGAUCAUGCUCUGCUCAGUCAUCGCCGUCAUGAUGACCAACGGCAACGGCGACCGUCCCGUCCGCCUGGUGGUGGGGGACAGGAGCGAGGUGGGCGUCUGCGUAAAAUUCUUCUCAAUCUUGCUGUGUUUCCUGGUAGCCUUCUUCUUCAACGUGCAGUCCGUGAGGUACUACAGCCACGCCAGCAUUCUCAUCAACGUGCCGUACAAGAAAAUCAUGGACGGCGGCGACGACUGCGUCAGCUGCGUGACGGCGGAGUACGUCGGCGGCAUAGUGAACAGAGGAAGCUAUUUCUGGUCUUUGGGGCUGAGGGCUUUCUACUUCUCUCUCCCAUUGUUUCUGUGGAUCUUUGGGCCUAUUCCCAUGUUCUUGACCUGCAUUUUUUUGGUUUUCAUGCUUUAUUUUCUGGAUGUGAUCUUGGAUUUUGGGGGGAUCGCAAUUUCUCCAAAGGACCACUGCAUUACGUCCAAAUGUUAGUUAGUUGAGACCAAAUGUGGGUGCCAAAUUAUAUCGGAC
RNA transcript from Ipomoea nil (Japanese morning glory), 3123 nucleotides. RefSeq lists it as uncharacterized. The record is from RefSeq and is a predicted model, not a curated record. The transcript has 10 exons. NCBI's taxonomy places the organism in Eukaryota, Viridiplantae, Streptophyta, Magnoliopsida, Solanales, Convolvulaceae.